This 253-nucleotide ribosomal RNA is filed under the name uncultured bacterium. RNAcentral's name for it is "partial 16S ribosomal RNA". It matches the Rfam family "Bacterial small subunit ribosomal RNA", at positions 524 to 776 of the family's 1533-position model. The record is from RNAcentral.
UACGGAGGGUGCAAGCAUUAAUCGGAAUUAUUGGGCGUAAAGGGCGCGUAGGCGGUGAGAUAAGUCUUCUGUGAAAUCCCGGGGCUCAACCUCGGAACAGCAGGGGAAACUAUCUUACUAGAGGGUAGGCGGAGAAAACGGAAUUCCACAUGUAGCGGUGAAAUGCGUAGAGAUGUGGAAGAACACCGGUGGCGAAAGCGGUUUUCUAGCUUACUCCUGACGCUGAGGCGCGAAAGCAAGGGGAGCAAACAGG